This 404-nucleotide ribosomal RNA is filed under the name uncultured bacterium. RNAcentral describes it as "bacterial SSU rRNA". It matches the Rfam family "Bacterial small subunit ribosomal RNA", at positions 976 to 1380 of the family's 1533-position model. The record is from RNAcentral.
CGGGCUCGAACGGCAUAUGACGGACUCAGAGAUGGGAACUCCCUUCGGGGCAUAUGUCGAGGUGCUGCAUGGUUGUCGUCAGCUCGUGUCGUGAGAUGUUGGCUCAAGUGCCAUAACGAGCGCAACCCUUGUCGUUAGUUACCAGCAUGUGAAGAUGGGGACUCUAACGAGACUGCCACCGCAAGGUGUGAGGAAGGCGGGGAUGACGUCAAAUCAGCACGGCCCUUACGUCCGGGGCGACACACGUGUUACAAUGGCGGUCACAGAGGGAAGCCACCCGGCGACGGGGAGCAGAUCUCGAAAAGCCGUCUCAGUUCGGACUGGAGUCUGCAACUCGACUCCACGAAGCUGGAUUCGCUAGUAAUCGCGCAUCAGCCAUGGCGCGGUGAAUACGUUCCCGGGCC